RNAcentral lists this ribosomal RNA (2905 nucleotides) under Escherichia coli. RNAcentral describes it as "23S ribosomal RNA". It matches the Rfam family "Bacterial large subunit ribosomal RNA". Lineage: Bacteria; Pseudomonadati; Pseudomonadota; Gammaproteobacteria; Enterobacterales; Enterobacteriaceae. The record is from RNAcentral.
GGUUAAGCGACUAAGCGUACACGGUGGAUGCCCUGGCAGUCAGAGGCGAUGAAGGACGUGCUAAUCUGCGAUAAGCGUCGGUAAGGUGAUAUGAACCGUUAUAACCGGCGAUUUCCGAAUGGGGAAACCCAGUGUGUUUCGACACACUAUCAUUAACUGAAUCCAUAGGUUAAUGAGGCGAACCGGGGGAACUGAAACAUCUAAGUACCCCGAGGAAAAGAAAUCAACCGAGAUUCCCCCAGUAGCGGCGAGCGAACGGGGAGCAGCCCAGAGCCUGAAUCAGUGUGUGUGUUAGUGGAAGCGUCUGGAAAGGCGCGCGAUACAGGGUGACAGCCCCGUACACAAAAAUGCACAUGCUGUGAGCUCGAUGAGUAGGGCGGGACACGUGGUAUCCUGUCUGAAUAUGGGGGGACCAUCCUCCAAGGCUAAAUACUCCUGACUGACCGAUAGUGAACCAGUACCGUGAGGGAAAGGCGAAAAGAACCCCGGCGAGGGGAGUGAAAAAGAACCUGAAACCGUGUACGUACAAGCAGUGGGAGCACAGAGCAAUCUGUGUGACUGCGUACCUUUUGUAUAAUGGGUCAGCGACUUAUAUUCUGUAGCAAGGUUAACCGAAUAGGGGAGCCGAAGGGAAACCGAGUCUUAACUGGGCGUUAAGUUGCAGGGUAUAGACCCGAAACCCGGUGAUCUAGCCAUGGGCAGGUUGAAGGUUGGGUAACACUAACUGGAGGACCGAACCGACUAAUGUUGAAAAAUUAGCGGAUGACUUGUGGCUGGGGGUGAAAGGCCAAUCAAACCGGGAGAUAGCUGGUUCUCCCCGAAAGCUAUUUAGGUAGCGCCUCGUGAAUUCAUCUCCGGGGGUAGAGCACUGUUUCGGCAAGGGGGUCAUCCCGACUUACCAACCCGAUGCAAACUGCGAAUACCGGAGAAUGUUAUCACGGGAGACACACGGCGGGUGCUAACGUCCGUCGUGAAGAGGGAAACAACCCAGACCGCCAGCUAAGGUCCCAAAGUCAUGGUUAAGUGGGAAACGAUGUGGGAAGGCCCAGACAGCCAGGAUGUUGGCUUAGAAGCAGCCAUCAUUUAAAGAAAGCGUAAUAGCUCACUGGUCGAGUCGGCCUGCGCGGAAGAUGUAACGGGGCUAAACCAUGCACCGAAGCUGCGGCAGCGACACUAUGUGUUGUUGGGUAGGGGAGCGUUCUGUAAGCCUGUGAAGGUGUACUGUGAGGUAUGCUGGAGGUAUCAGAAGUGCGAAUGCUGACAUAAGUAACGAUAAAGCGGGUGAAAAGCCCGCUCGCCGGAAGACCAAGGGUUCCUGUCCAACGUUAAUCGGGGCAGGGUGAGUCGACCCCUAAGGCGAGGCCGAAAGGCGUAGUCGAUGGGAAACAGGUUAAUAUUCCUGUACUUGGUGUUACUGCGAAGGGGGGACGGAGAAGGCUAUGUUGGCCGGGCGACGGUUGUCCCGGUUUAAGCGUGUAGGCUGGUUUUCCAGGCAAAUCCGGAAAAUCAAGGCUGAGGCGUGAUGACGAGGCACUACGGUGCUGAAGCAACAAAUGCCCUGCUUCCAGGAAAAGCCUCUAAGCAUCAGGUAACAUCAAAUCGUACCCCAAACCGACACAGGUGGUCAGGUAGAGAAUACCAAGGCGCUUGAGAGAACUCGGGUGAAGGAACUAGGCAAAAUGGUGCCGUAACUUCGGGAGAAGGCACGCUGAUAUGUAGGUGAAGCGACUUGCUCGUGGAGCUGAAAUCAGUCGAAGAUACCAGCUGGCUGCAACUGUUUAUUAAAAACACAGCACUGUGCAAACACGAAAGUGGACGUAUACGGUGUGACGCCUGCCCGGUGCCGGAAGGUUAAUUGAUGGGGUCAGCGCAAGCGAAGCUCUUGAUCGAAGCCCCGGUAAACGGCGGCCGUAACUAUAACGGUCCUAAGGUAGCGAAAUUCCUUGUCGGGUAAGUUCCGACCUGCACGAAUGGCGUAAUGAUGGCCAGGCUGUCUCCACCCGAGACUCAGUGAAAUUGAACUCGCUGUGAAGAUGCAGUGUACCCGCGGCAAGACGGAAAGACCCCGUGAACCUUUACUAUAGCUUGACACUGAACAUUGAGCCUUGAUGUGUAGGAUAGGUGGGAGGCUUGGAAGUGUGGACGCCAGUCUGCAUGGAGCCGACCUUGAAAUACCACCCUUUAAUGUUUGAUGUUCUAACGUUGACCCGUAAUCCGGGUUGCGGACAGUGUCUGGUGGGUAGUUUGACUGGGGCGGUCUCCUCCUAAAGAGUAACGGAGGAGCACGAAGGUUGGCUAAUCCUGGUCGGACAUCAGGAGGUUAGUGCAAUGGCAUAAGCCAGCUUGACUGCGAGCGUGACGGCGCGAGCAGGUGCGAAAGCAGGUCAUAGUGAUCCGGUGGUUCUGAAUGGAAGGGCCAUCGCUCAACGGAUAAAAGGUACUCCGGGGAUAACAGGCUGAUACCGCCCAAGAGUUCAUAUCGACGGCGGUGUUUGGCACCUCGAUGUCGGCUCAUCACAUCCUGGGGCUGAAGUAGGUCCCAAGGGUAUGGCUGUUCGCCAUUUAAAGUGGUACGCGAGCUGGGUUUAGAACGUCGUGAGACAGUUCGGUCCCUAUCUGCCGUGGGCGCUGGAGAACUGAGGGGGGCUGCUCCUAGUACGAGAGGACCGGAGUGGACGCAUCACUGGUGUUCGGGUUGUCAUGCCAAUGGCACUGCCCGGUAGCUAAAUGCGGAAGAGAUAAGUGCUGAAAGCAUCUAAGCACGAAACUUGCCCCGAGAUGAGUUCUCCCUGACCCUUUAAGGGUCCUGAAGGAACGUUGAAGACGACGACGUUGAUAGGCCGGGUGUGUAAGCGCAGCGAUGCGUUGAGCUAACCGGUACUAAUGAACCGUGAGGCUUAACCUU